AGUCGAACGGAAGUCGUUGUAAUGAAAUGGAAAUGGACAGAGAACUUGUUCGAAGAAAGUUGAAGUAGACUUACAACAAUGGCUUUAGUGGCGGACUGGUGAGUAACGCGUAAGGAACCUGCCUUUUAGAGGGGAAUAACAAUGAGAAAUCAUUGCUAAUACCGCAUAUGCCGAGAGAAUCACAUGGUACAAUCGGGAAAGGAGCAAUCCGCUAAAAGAUGGCCUUGCGUCUGAUUAGAUAGUUGGUGGGGUAACGGCCUACCAAGUCGACGAUCAGUAGCCGGACUGAGAGGUUGAACGGCCACAUUGGGACUGAGAUACGGCCCAGACUCCUACGGGAGGCAGCAGUCGGGAAUAUUGCGCAAUGGAGGAAACUCUGACGCAGUGACGCCGCGUAUAGGAAGAAGGUUUUCGGAUUGUAAACUAUUGUCGUUAGGGAAGAGAAAGGACAGUACCUAAGGAGGAAGCUCCGGCUAACUACGUGCCAGCAGCCGCGGUAAUACGUAGGGAGCGAGCGUUAUCCGGAAUUAUUGGGUGUAAAGGGUGCGUAGACGGGAAGAUAAGUUAGUUGUGAAAUCCCUCGGCUUAACUGAGGAACUGCAACUAAAACUGUUUUUCUUGAGUGCAGGAGAGGUAAGUGGAAUUCCUAGUGUAGCGGUGAAAUGCGUAGAUAUUAGGAGGAACA
RNAcentral lists this ribosomal RNA (685 nucleotides) under uncultured bacterium. RNAcentral describes it as "bacterial SSU rRNA". It matches the Rfam family "Bacterial small subunit ribosomal RNA", at positions 60 to 708 of the family's 1533-position model. The record is from RNAcentral.